GAUUGUUUUAAAUUUAUUUGUUAAUUUUAUCGUUUAAAAUUAAAAUUUUGUAGUUAAAAUUGGAUAAUUUUAGACUCUAUAUAGUGGUGGUAGUGCGCUAGAGGUUGCUUCUUCUGGCCCUUCCGGCAGAUUAUGCUCUGCCUCAACGUUACAAUCUACAGACGGCCCGUAUGUGCCCCGCUUUUGAGCUCCUUUGCCGUUCUUGUACAGGUUCCACGCAAGAUACAGCAACGACGCAACUCCUUGAAGUGAUUGGAGGCAUCCCGUCGUCAUAUGACCGGAAGGAGCUGGACGGGCUGCCGACGAAGAUGACUGAAGGGAAAUCAGGAGGUUCUCCACCAGCAGGACGAGAAAAUACCUACCGGAAGCGCAUUUAUUGGCUGUCCAGUAAAUCUUGCUGGUUCAUUCUCUAAGUCCUUACCGUUGCACAGACGAGCUUGGGACGGACACAAUCAUUCUCGGGGUCGGGCGACAGCAAGGAGACAAGCUUAUAUGCGAUGCGUUACGAUAGGAAAUUCCUGAGACGGCAACAUGGGAGGCAAGAUGAAAUUCAUUCUGCAUUGGUGCGGCGUUUGACGUGACGCUUCCGAGCCGCUCGGCUAUGUUGUUUUCCACGAUUACUGUCAGUGCCCAAACGACAAUCAAAUUAUUCUGGUCCUGUUGAAGGAUGGUAUCGAUCAUUAGCUGGAGAAGUAUCCGAAGAUGCCGGGAACUCCUCUGUUAGCCCAUCCCACAUGUUAGCCCAUCCCACAAAAGGCGUACAGGAAGAGUUAGAGCGUUUCGAUGGGAUUGAUUUCACCUGCUAACGGAAGUACGGUAGGUUACCCGGUUGGGUAACACACGUGAAAAGCGCGAUCUUCGAUUGCGAAGCUGUAUCAGGAAGAGAAGCAAAUUCUACCGUUCCAUAUUCUUAGCACCCGCAACUCAUCUGAAGUUUCGAGUGAGUUUCGAGUAAGAAGCCGUUGCGGAUCAGGACAACGCAUCAAAAAUUAAACAAACGAAAUAUGGUCACAGAAUUUCUGGAUAUGAAAACCUCGUGAAAACCCAUCUGUGGGCAUAACAUUAUGUAAAUAAUAGAAAUUUAUAUUAUAAAAUAAAUAGAAAUAUGAAAACACUUAAAUAUCAUG
Armigeres subalbatus is the source of this 1127-nucleotide long non-coding RNA. RefSeq lists it as uncharacterized. The transcript has 3 exons. NCBI's taxonomy places the organism in Eukaryota, Metazoa, Arthropoda, Insecta, Diptera, Culicidae. The record is from RefSeq and is a predicted model, not a curated record.